GCUGGACGUAUCACAAGUGCGAAUGCUGACAUAAGUAACGAUAAAACGGGUGAAAAACCCGUUCGCCGGAAGACCAAGGGUUCCUGUCCAACGUUAAUCGGGGCAGGGUGAGUCGGCUCCUAAGGCGAGGCUGAAAAGCGUAGUCGAUGGGAAACAGGUUAAUAUUCCUGUACUUGGUAAAGCUGCGAUGUGGGGACGGAGUAGGUUAGGUUAUCGCACUGUUGGAUAUGUGCGUUUAAGUUGGUAGGUGGGAAGUUUAGGCAAAUCCGGACUUCCUUAACACAGAGAGAUGAUGACGAGGCUCUACGGAGCUGAAGUAACUGAUACCACACUUCCAGGAAAAGCCACUAAGCGAAAGGCUUUACUAAACCGUACUGAAAACCGACACAGGUGGUCAGGUAGAGAAUACUCAGGCGCUUGAGAGAACUCGGGUGAAGGAACUAGGCAAAAUAGCACCGUAACUUCGGGAGAAGGUGCGCCGGCGUAGAUUGUAGUCCCUAGCGGGCGAAGGUUGAACCGGUCGAAGAUACCAGCUGGCUGCAACUGUUUAUUAAAAACACAGCACUCUGCAAACACGAAAGUGGACGUAUAGGGUGUGAUGCCUGCCCGGUGCUGGAAGGUUAAUUGAUGGUGUCAUCGCAAGAGAAGCACCUGAUCGAAGCCCCAGUAAACGGCGGCCGUAACUAUAACGGUCCUAAGGUAGCGAAAUUCCUUGUCGGGUAAGUUCCGACCUGCACGAAUGGCAUAAUGAUGGCCAGGCUGUCUCCACCCGAGACUCAGUGAAAUUGAAAUCGCCGUGAAGAUGCGGUGUACCCGCGGCUAGACGGAAAGACCCCGUGAACCUUUACUAUAGCUUGACACUGAACAUUGAAUUUUGAUGUGUAGGAUAGGUGGGAGCCUUUGAAGCAGUGACGCCAGUCAUUGUGGAGGCGACCUUGAAAUACCACCCUUUAACGUUUGAUGUUCUAACGAAGAUGACGAAACGUGGUCUCGGACAGUGUCUGGUGGGUAGUUUGACUGGGGCGGUCUCCUCCCAAAGCGUAACGGAGGAGCACGAAGGUUUGCUAAUCACGGUCGGACAUCGUGAGGUUAGUGCAAUGGUAUAAGCAAGCUUAACUGCGAGACAGACAAGUCGAGCAGGUACGAAAGUAGGUCAUAGUGAUCCGGUGGUUCUGAAUGGAAGGGCCAUCGCUCAACGGAUAAAAGGUACUCCGGGGAUAACAGGCUGAUACCGCCCAAGAGUUCAUAUCGACGGCGGUGUUUGGCACCUCGAUGUCGGCUCAUCACAUCCUGGGGCUGAAGUAGGUCCCAAGGGUAUGGCUGUUCGCCAUUUAAAGUGGUACGCGAGCUGGGUUUAGAACGUCGUGAGACAGUUCGGUCCCUAUCUGCCGUGGGCGUUGGAUGAUUGAUUGGGGCUGCUCCUAGUACGAGAGGACCGGAGUGGACGCAUCACUGGUGUUCCAGUUGUCUCGCCAGAGGCAUUGCUGGGUAGCUAAAUGCGGAAGAGAUAAGUGCUGAAAGCAUCUAAGCACGAAACUUGCCAAGAGAUGAGUCAUCCCUGACUUUAAGUCAGUAAGGGUUGUUGUAGACUACGACGUAGAUAGGUCAGGUGUGUAAGUGUAGUGAUACAUUGAGCUAACAGAUACUAAUUGCCCGAGAGGCUUAACUAUACAACGCUCAAG
RNAcentral lists this ribosomal RNA (1682 nucleotides) under Haemophilus sp. HMSC071C11. RNAcentral describes it as "bacterial LSU rRNA". It matches the Rfam family "Bacterial large subunit ribosomal RNA", at positions 1272 to 2925 of the family's 2925-position model. Lineage: Bacteria; Pseudomonadati; Pseudomonadota; Gammaproteobacteria; Pasteurellales; Pasteurellaceae. The record is from RNAcentral.